GUCGCAAACCGCAGUUCUUCAAGAGGAGACCAGCGAACACCCGAUAGUAGCAGCGGUGCCGGCUAUGCAGUCGCUUGGUCGCACACAGGUCGCCAAACAGAUGGGCUCGUUCAACAAGUCAUUCUUCGUGAAAGCAUGCGUCUUCGAUUCGCCUCCGUACAUUCUCUUGUCCUGUUUUUCGAAAACGUCACUUUGCUUCACUCGAAAGCGGUGAAGGAGCACGCAGCUGAGACUGGCGUUGAGCUGCUGGCGGUGGAAGCGGGUGCUCUCCGCUUCUUUCCCGUAGGAAGCGCCUUGCGUUGCUGUCAAUAGCCCCGUUUGAGCGAACGGAUCCAUAGACGGGACGUUCGGCUCUACGGCACUAUUCAGCGACAUGUCGUUUCGAGGUUCACCAGCCCUGUACUGCUGUGCUGUUUCAGUGUUCGUGUGCGAAGCGGGGUCGGCAAGGCGAGCUUCAGUCCGUGGACAUGCUCGCGACGGAGAAGGUGACGAAGAGGUACUUGAGUAACCGUCUAGACAUAGGUAGAAAAGGAGAGUUGUUGUCGUAGCCUUCAUCCACGACGUGCGAAAUCCCACGAAGGUCACGGACAUGAAGUAUAGCGACCACUGCCAUGCCACCUUGCCGAGACAAGUCGGUGCCGAAGAAGCACCUGGUCUCUGCGAUCAACUACGAAGCAUUCGAGCAGCUCGGCAGAAGAGCGUCGGCGGAGUUUGUGUAAGAUUUAUCGAGUACAUGGAGGAAAUGGAAAGAUGCUUACAUCGAAAAUCGAAAGCGACCUCAUAUCCCUGUGCAUGCCCUUUUUGAAACCUAUGCCUACCUCGAAACUCGAGAAUCACGUUCCACCCUUCGAGGUAGUACUGGAGAAAGACUUUGGAUGCCUACUUGUGUGGGCGUGUCGUGCCCGUCGCCAUAGGUAUUGAUCAAAAGGACAGAGCCUUGCAUCCUGGGUGAAAGCAGAUGAAGCGGCUCGAGUUUCCCAGAGCGCACCGUCAUCGAGAGUCGAGCGUCAUAAACGCCAUGCGGCAUACCAGGAGAUGCAGCAGAGGCGCCAUAGCCCCUAGCCACCCAUCCUGCAGCUCGACGCUCUGCGUACAGUCUCGCGCCGACACCAGUGCUUCGGAUGCUUCACCUAGAGCAUCCCGAGACGUCCAAAAUGGCGCGUACGGACGAUCUCCGGCAAGAGUCAAUGAGACAGCGCUGGGUCGCCACCGGUUCCAGUGCUACCCAGGCGACAAGCGUGCAUUCACCAACGCUUUUCAUGCGACGGGGAAGGAAACCUUCGAUCGUUCGUAUCGUGUCGUUUCGUGAUACCACAGAGCAAUCGAUGCGCUAUAGCAUGCCAAGGCUGCACUCCUGCUCCAUCCACGAGAGCGUACAACUGUGGAUGCACAUGGAUGCGGCACGAUUCCCAGCGAUGCGUCUGGGUCGACGUACGCGCUCCACGAGUCAGGGUGCCCGGUGAAGCGGACAGCGAAGCAGACGCGCGAAAAGCAGAGACCGAAGCACAUCAUGGUACAGCGGAUGCUGACUGAACCUCAGAUAACGGGGCAAUCGACAAUGACAGGCACGCUUUGGAAUGAUGCCACUGGCAGCCACAGGUGCGAGCACGUUCUGCACCGAAAUAUCGGAGUCUCUAUGAAUAUCGGGAGAUGUUUCGUGCUUGCGGAGCGACCAGCAGUUUUGUACAGAGCGAAACUC
RNAcentral lists this unclassified non-coding RNA (1699 nucleotides) under Cyanidioschyzon merolae strain 10D. RNAcentral's name for it is "hypothetical transcript". Lineage: Eukaryota; Rhodophyta; Bangiophyceae; Cyanidiales; Cyanidiaceae. The record is from RNAcentral.